Molorchus minor is the source of this 71-nucleotide non-coding RNA. The record is from the annotation of a GenBank genome assembly. Lineage: Eukaryota; Metazoa; Arthropoda; Insecta; Coleoptera; Cerambycidae.
GGUCGAUAGCUCAGCGCUAAAGCGUCGGGCUUGAGAUCUAAAGGUCGCGGGUUCUAGGCCCGCUCGAAGUA